Molecule: small nucleolar RNA, 151 nt
Organism: Manis pentadactyla (Chinese pangolin)
Lineage: Eukaryota; Metazoa; Chordata; Mammalia; Pholidota; Manidae
Product: U8 small nucleolar RNA
Exons: 1
Source: RefSeq, a predicted model, not a curated record
GUGUCAGGUGGGAUCUUCUUUACCUGUUCCUCCUUUUGGAGGGCAGACUGGAAUAUGAUGAUUGGAGUUUGCAUGAUAUGUGAUUAUCAUCUCUGUGCCAUCAGGAUUCACAAACAAAAGCAAAAACAAGAAACUUGUACAGGAAUCUGAA